Molecule: long non-coding RNA, 18707 nt
Filed under: Physcomitrium patens
Lineage: Eukaryota; Viridiplantae; Streptophyta; Bryopsida; Funariales; Funariaceae
Description: long non-coding RNA (PPAT_LNC008529)
Source: RNAcentral
GUCUAUUAUCUAGACAAAAUCUUGAUCUAUUCUAAGAAUCCAGAAGAACAUUAAGUUCAUGUUUGUUGUGUGUUACAAAAAUUAAGAGAUGUAGGACUUUAUGCCAAGAUAGAAAAGUGUGUGUUCCACACUACUCAAGUUGAUUUCUUAGGUUACAUUAUUUCAAAUGAUGAACUUAUAAUGGAUCCUAAGAAAGUUCAAACUAUUAUAGAUUGGAAGAUUCUAAAAAUGGUAAAAGAUGUCCAAUGUUUUUUAGAAUUUGCCAACUACUAUUGGAUCUUCAUCAAGGACUUCUCUCGACUUGCAGCUCCACUUACAUGUUUGACUUGUAAAAACUAACUCCAAUGGAAUCAAGAAGUGGAAGUUGCUUUUGAAUCUUUGAAGACAACGUUUGUUUCUGCACCAAUCUUGUAUCGUGUUGAAUUUUCUAAAGUAUUCUUUAUGGAAACAGAUGCAUCAGACUUUGCUCUGGGUACAGUUUUAUUACAAAUAGAAACAGAUGACAAACUUCAUUUAGUAGCCUUUCAUUCAAGAAAAUUCUCAACAGUAAAAAUCAAUUAUGAGAUCCAUAACAAAGAACUUCUUGCAAUCGUGGAUUCUUUUCAAGAAUGAUGUCAUUAUCUAGAAGGGACUUCCAGUCCACUCACCGUGUAUACAGAUCACAAGAAACUCAAGUAUUUUAUGUCAACACGUGUAUUAAAUCGUCGUCAAGCUCGUUGGAGCAUGUCUUUAUCAAGAUUUGAGUUCAUCAUCACUUAUCGAUCAGAAAAACAAUAAGGUUUGUCCAAUGCCUUCUCUAGAUGUUCUUAUCUUGCACCAAAAGAAGGAGAUGUAGCUUAUGAGCAACAAAGAAUGGUUCUCUUGAAGCCGGAGUAAUUUCAUCUUUGAGCAAUAAAAUCAACAUUGACUGUUGAUUUAACUUUUCUUAAGCAAGUCCAGUUAAGUAUGUCUUCAGUCCCUCUUGUUCAUGAUAUCAAGAAUAAUUCUUCUAAAUCUCAUGAUCCCUCUAAAUUUGAAUUCAAGAACAACCUACUCUAUUUCGAAGGACGCCUAUAUAUUCCAGAAAGAGAAGCACAUUUACGUAUUCUUCAAGCUUGUCACGACUUCUCAGCAACAGGAUAUUUUGGAUAUAAUAAGACUUUGGAACUGAUAUCUAAGGAUUUUUGGUGGCCUCAAAUGUAGAAGGCAGUCAAAGAUUUUGUACAAUCAUGUGAUGUUUGCUCAAGAUCAAAAACUCCUCGUCAUUGAUCUUAUGGACUUGUUCAGCCAUUACCCAUUCCAGAACAACCAUGGUCUUCUGUUUCUAUGGACUUCAUCACGGAUCUUCCAAUCUCAGGUUCUUAUGACUCUAUAUUCGUGAUAGUAGAUCGUUUUAUCAAGAUGGCACAUUUUGUACCAUGUACAAAAUCUAUCACAGGUGAAGAAACAGCUAAGCUCUUUCUUGACAAUAUCUAUUGCUAUCAUGGAUUAUCUAAGGAUAUUAUAUCAGAUAGGAGAACUCAAUUUGUAUCAAGAUUUUGGUGGACUCUUUUCAAGUUUCUAAAAGUGGAUAUAAAACUAUCUUCGACAUUCUAUCCUCAAAUUGAUGGACAAACAGAGCGUGUUAAUCAAGUUUUGGAGCAAUAUUUAAGAUGUACCAUUAACUACCAACAAGAUGAUUGGACAACUCUUUUGUCAUUGGCAGAGUUUGCUCACAAUAACACGAUACAUUCUUCUACAAAACAAACACCUUUCUUUGCCAAUUAUGGUUAUUAUCUAUGAUUUGAUACUUUUGACUUUUCAAAAGUUGAUAAUCUUGCUAAGAAAGAUUUGGCAAUUCAUUUAUCAGAGUUACAUGCAACGAUGAAGGUGUAGUUAAAAGAGGCUCAAGAACAACAAAAAGUCAAUGCAGAUGUCUAUCGAAAGGAACAACCAUCAUUCGUCUUGGGUGAUAAGGUAUGGCUACUUCGUCAUAAUAUCAAGACCACUCGUACUUAAAAACAAGUUGGACUAUCGAAGACUUGGACCAUUUUCUAUUUCUGCACAAAUCCAUUCAGUUGCAUAUAAUUUACAUCUACGGAAGUCAAUGAAAAUCCAUCCAAUAUUCCACGUGUCUCUUCUUAAACCAUACAAGAUAAUGGACAUACCAAAAAGAUGACAAGCUCCACCUCCUCCUAUAAAAGUGGACAAUAAUGAAGAAUUUGAAGUAGAAGAAGUCUUAGAUUCAAGGCGGCGCCAAAAUAAAUUGGAAUAUCUUAUCCAUUGGCACGGAUAUGAUAUUAGUGAACGCACAUGGGAGCCAAUAAAAAAUAUUACAAAUGUAGCAAAGGCGGUAGAGGCUUUUCAUCGACGACAUCUAUCAAAAAUAAGAUGAAAACCUUCUUUGUAAAAGAAACAACAUUUAGGCAAGAUAACAUUCUAUUUUCAAUUCUUGUUUAUAGUUUCUUUAUAGUUGUGAUGCUCAAGAGAUGGAGAACCAACAACCAGCGGAUUCGAUUCAAGAGCCUUCAUUUGUUGACCUACCGGAUGAGACAUUACGAUUGUCACAACCUUCAAGAUAAUGUAAUCAAAAUGAAGAUCUUGAAGAACGACAUGUUCUUCCUCGAAUAGAUGGCGAGAUACAAUGCGUUUGGUAUCACGAUUUGGGAAGGGACUCCCGAUGUUUGGUGAUUUUGCUAGAGGUAGGAACAACUCUUGAUGGUGUUCCAAAUGUUCUAUUCGAAGGAAGUUAUGAAGGCCUCAACAAUGAUCAAAUAAUUGGGUGGUCUUCCCGCCCUAGUAUGGGACACUGCUGAUGGUUGAGAGGCCCUAUCAAUCAUCUUUGAAGAGAACAAAGAUCAGAGUAUGUCGCAAAUAUAAUUCGUUGCAUCAUAGAUUUCUUCAACAUAUGAUCACCGCUCCUCAUGGAACUCGUUCCUAGAAGAGGUGGUAAUGUCAUGGACAUACUCAUGUAAGCUAGUAAUUACAUAUACAAAUAGAUGGAAGUAAGUAAAAGUAGGUAAAAGUAAGUUAAUUCUAUAGUAUUUAAUAUGGAAGCUUCUUAGAAGCUUCAUAGACGUUGCUUCAACUUCAUAGGUGUCUUUAAUUGACUUUUUGGAUUAGAAACGUGGUUAACAAGUUAGCCAUGUGCCACACAUGUUGUUAGCUUAAAGAUCAAGCUAACUAUAUGGCCCACACGUAGAAAAACUUGUCUUGUAAGUCAAGGCAUGUGUCCUACAAAGUCAACACAUAUUGGAGGUCCUAUAGAACGUCAUCAAGUAGUCCCUAAUUAGAUAGUAUAUAUAGAGACAAGAGUGAAGCCUUCUUCACUCUUUUUAAUUCCUUUCUUGCUUCCAGUCUAGUUUCAAGGGUCUCUAGUUUUCUUGUCUUUUGGCAAUAGCCAUUCCAAUUUCUCUUUCAAUAUACAUACUUUUUUAUUUAUAUUUUGUUACCUUUCUUUGAGUGAAGGCUCACUUGAUUGAAUUGCUUUUUCAUCGAGUUCUUGUCCUUGACAACAAGAUAUUUCAACCUAUUUUGGCACUACCUACAAUAUAAUACUUCUUCUACUUCAAACUCUUGAUUAUUAUCUAAUUUUAUAUGAAGUUGUAAUAUUUGUUUUUUUUUCUAAGUUUAAAACUAACAAGGCUAAAUUUUUUUUAUUUUUUGAUCCUAAAAAAACUUCUAUUGUACAAGAAGGUAAGAGAUUUGAAGAGAAAAUAGGACCUUUAUUAAAAAUUAUUUAAAAUUCUAGCCACAUAGUAUUAUUUAGUAAUAUAGCCAUUAGGUGAAAGAAGAAAGAAAAUAUUUUAUUAUAGAAGAAUCUAAUUAAAAAUAUAUAAUAAAAAAACAUAGAUAAAUGAUAGGCAAGUAAUAAAAUCCAUUAAUAUUAGAAGUACAUUAUACAAAAAUAAAUUCUAUUUAUUUUGUGGAGCCAUAAAUAAUACAAAACAAGAUAGAUUUAAAAAGUAAAAUAUAUAAGUAUAUAUAAAAUAAAAUUAGGAGUUUAUUUUAGCAAAUAUUACUUUAAAAAGAUAAGAAUUGAUAUCCAAAGAGGACCAAUUGCCAACUAAGAUCAAUAUCAAACUCUAAGGUACAAAACCGAGUACAUAUAUUGACUUUGAGGUUCUUUUGGAAAUUAAAAUAAAGAAAUUUGAAAGCUAACUUGAAGAGAGAUUUUUGAGUGUUGAUUUUAUGUCAAUUUCAUUAAUAUUGAGAUUUUAAAGAAUUUUCAAAGUUAGUAAUGUACUCAAUAGAUUUAGAUUUAAAAAAAUAAAAAUAUGUUUAUAAAUUUAAGAAUUUCUUGAGUUUCAUAGCAUAUAUACAAGUGAAAUUUAGGUAGUUUGUUUUUGUACUUAUUAUGGAUGUAUAUGAAAAACUUGAGGUCAAUCAAAUAGUUAGAUUGAAGCAUAUGAGGGAUUUUGUGGAUUAUGGAUUCAAAAAUUUGAAAUUUAGGAUUAGUGGGGGAUUUUAAGAUUUAGCAAUAUGUGCUAAUUGGAUUCAAGAAAAAUUUGAUUAAAAAAAUUAAGGCUUGAAUACUUACACAUAACCUAAUUUUUGGAACAAUUGAAUAGUUAAGUAAGGAGAAAUUGGUAUUGAAAGAUCAAUAUUCAAAUCAAAGAAGAAAGUCAGCUAAUGAUUAAGAGAUUUUGGGAGUUUUGUAUUCUAUUGAUAUGUGCAAUCUUCUUCAAAUAUUUUAUACUUAUUACUUACUUAUUUAUUGCAAGAUAUGCAAACUUUGAAUAAUAAUCAAUAAUUCAAUCAUUAGUUAUUAGUAUUAACUAAGUAUUAUACAAGGUUCUAACUGCAUGGUCUCUAUUGUAGCUAGAAAAACUUGUUUUCGAACAUACUAUCUUCUUUUAUAGUUGUACUUCUCAUUUUAUAGUUGUGUCACUUCUUUGGAUAAUAUUGAGCAAUAUGCUUAGGUUUUCUAUAAUACAAGUAUAAUCUUUUUUAACAAAAAAAUGACUUUUUUUUUUUUCAAUAAGAGGUUUAAAACAUAUCAUAUCAAUUUACAUAUUCUCUACUUUUAAAUGUAUUUAUUGAAAAAAAAUUGGUGUUGCCAUUGAAUUAUAGUAAUUUUGAUGCGCACUUAUGCAAUUCUAAAAUUAAAAGUCAUAAAAUUGAUUGUGACACUUCAUAAUAAAGUCAAUUAUUUGACUCAAUGUUUGAGGAUGCUCUACAUAGGAGAAGAGACAUGAUUUGAUACAGAUAUUAAAGUAGCUCUAAUCUUUUCUAUAUUUUUGCUUUCUACCAUUCUUGUUGCUCUUUUUAGUGAUAAAUUUAAUUGAUGCAUCAUAAGCAUUUAAUCUCUCAAUUAUUCUUGCAUUUGUGCCAUUAUAUUCUUCAUUUUAAGAAGUUUUGCCAUGAUAAUACUUAGAAAAGAAAAGAAAAGAUGUCUAAUAUUGCUCAAGAAAAAUAUAAGAAAGGACUUGAAAACAAAAAAAAAAUACUAAAGACAAUAUUACUUUAAAAGAAGGUAAUUUGAAACUUCUAAUAUGCUUAAGUCUUAUUAAGAAAAAGAAAUAAUCUAUUCUUAACCAAGAAAAUAUAAAGCUUUGAUAUUGUAAGUGUAUUCUUAUCAAUCUAUCAAGGACAAGAACCCAAUGAAAGAAAAUUAUCAAGUGAAAAUUUUUUCAAAGAAAUAUGAUAAAAUAGAAGUAACAAAAUAUGUAUAUUAAAAAUAAAUAAAUAAAUAAAUAAAUAAUAGAAUGGCUAUUGCAAAAAAGAUAAGAAAACUAAAAACUCUGGAAUCUAUAUUAGAGCAAGAAAGGAGUUGACAAGAAUAAAGGAGGCUUUAUUCUUGCUUCUAUAUAUACUAUCCAUCUAGAAGCUAUGUAGCAACGUUCUAUAGACCUCCAACAUGUGUUGACUUUGCAAGCCACAUGUCUUAAUUUGCAAGGCAAGUUUUAACUAAGUGUACCACAUAAUUAACUUGUUACACAAGCUAUCUAUACAUAUGAUACAUGAUUAACUUAUUGACCAAGUUUCUAACUUAAAAAUAAAAUAUAAACACUUGUAAAGUCAAAAUUAUGUCUAUGAAGCUUCUAAGAAGCUUUUCUAAAAGAUAUUAUAAAAAUAUCUACUUUUAUCCAUUUCUAUUUAAUCAUAUGGAUAAUUAUUAAAAUAAGUAUGUAUAUUUGUAACAAUUAUUACUCUUCUCAAAUUAUCAAGGACAUGAAUCUUGAAGAAGUAAAAGAUCAUAACUUUCUUGUAUCACUUGAAAAGACUAGAUAAUUAUUUAAAGAUGAUAUAAUAAUGAAUUAAAAUAUCUAGUGCCAAAGACGAGAAGAUUAGAAAGACUUGAAACAAGACUAAGGACUUGAAAGGCAUUGACAAGAGUGAAGAAGGGUUCAUUCUUGCCUCCAUAUGUACUAUCUAACUAAGAGGUACGUCGUGAUAUUCUAUAAGAUCUUAAAUACAUAUUAACUUUGCUAAACACAUGUUUUAACUUACCAAGCAAUUUUUCUAUAUGUAUGCCACAUAAUUAGCUUUUUUUUGCAAGUUAAUAAUACAUGUGAUAAGUAGCUAACUUAUUAACCAAGUUUCUAACCUACCAAUUAACUACAAAUACAUAUUGUUGAGAAAAUAACUCUUUAAGUAGUUGCUAAUGGUCAAUAGAGUACAAGUAUUGUUAAGAAUAUUCCAUAAGGUUAGGUGCUGGUCUAUAGUACAUUAGAGUACAAGGGGAGGACUGGUCCUAGAAGAUAUCCCAUAUGGGUUGUAGCACUUGGUACCUUGGUACUAGUAUAUAAGGAAAGGGUUGGCAUGAGAAGAAUUAUCUCAUACCACACUCUAUUUGUUAUAGUGCAACCUUGCUGGUCCUAACUUACUCGUGUGGAGUAUGUUUUCUAUGUUUCAAUAGGUUAUGGGCCCACAUUCUCUUACCAAGUAAGUUGUUCUUGCAUUAUUUCUUUGUUGCUUGUUUUUUGGUGGUUGAGAUCUUAUGGUAGAGUAUUGCUAGUAAAUUGUUGAAGUCAAUGCUUAGUGCAAGACCUUGAUAGUGUCUUUGCUUAAGGAGUACUAGUAUUUGAGAGUUCUAUGAGAAAGUGAGUCAUUUUGAGUGAAGUGACGUGAGAGAGACGUUUGAAAGUCAUAAAAUCACAUUACAAACCAUUCCCUAUCAUUUAGACGUAAUUUGGACUCAAAAUAUGUAAAAAGUUGCAAAACAGCGAAUUCUGGGUUUGUAGUUCAGCAAUCUUUAAGUAGUCAUAUCUUUUGCAUUACAACUCCAAAUCAAGAGUUUUUUGGACCUACUUGUAGCUUGAGAUGGCAUCUUUUGAGGGUGAUAGCUUAAGAGUUGUUGAAAAGUUUAGAGGUGACAACUUUCACCACUGGAAGGCCAAAAUGGAGCUACUUUUGGCAUCAUUGGAUCUUUGGGAGAUAGUAGAUGAGGAAGAACUUGCACUUGGGGUAGAGGCAAGCAUCAAGGACCAAAAGGACUUCAAAAGACGAGAAAAGAAGGCUUUUGGCAUAAUUACCACCAAUUUAGAUGAAAGCAACUUUGCUCAUGUCAUUUCUUGCAAAGGGGCAACAGAUGCAUGGAAGACUCUUUGCAAUGUCUAUGAAAGUAGGAAUCUUUCCAAUGUGCUAUGGUCAAGGCAAAAAUUCUUCACCGUGAAGAUGGAAGAAGGUGAAGAUCUCAUGGCUCAUGUGAAUAAGGUAAAAGCACUUGCAAACCAACUUGUUGUUGUUGACAAGCCUUUACUUGAAGAAGAUGUUGUGAUGACAUUGCUCUCAAGCCUUCCGGACUCCUAUUCCUCCCUCAUUGUGGCAUUGGAGUCCAUUUCAAGGAAAGACCUCACUUUGGACUAUGUCACAGCAAGAUUAGCCCAUGAAGUGACCAAAAGAAAGCAAAAGGAGUCUAUUGGGGAGCAAUCAGUACUAUUUACAAGACCAAGUAAGGCAAGUGCCCCUUUUCAACGUUAUCCUCCUAAAACUUGUUAUAUUUGUGGAAAACCAGGCCAUUUUGCUAGAAAUUAUUUCAAGACAAAGAGAGGAGAAAGAGAGAAUGCCAACAAUGCUUUUCAUGACCAUGGAGGUGAAGACUUUGCAUUCAUGGCAAAACAAACUCCUUCCAUGUUUGAUAUGAGCAAAUGGAUUGUGGAUUCUAGAUGUACUAAACACAUGACUCCAUACAAGUGUUCAUUUAACACUUAUCAACCAAUUCCAGCAACCAAGGUUUGGUUAGGUGAUAAUUGUAUGGUACAAGCCAUUGGAAUGGGCACCAUUGUAGUAGACGUGGUGGUAAAGGGCAUAAGCAAGAGAAUCACUCUCAAGGAUGUGUUGCAUGUGCCAAAGAUGAAGAAGAACUUCCUUUCGGAGAGUAAACUUGUAACUCAUGGGUACAAAGUGCAAUUUAAUAUGAAUGGAUGUUUUGUGAGAACCAUGGAAGGCAAAGAAGUAGCAAAAAGGACUAGGGAUGGCAAUCUCUAUAAUAUCAAUUGCAAGAGGAUCAAUGGAGUGGAGAUUGCUGCCUUUGCUGAAUUUCCAACAAAUGAAGACAAGGUGGACAUUUGGCAUCAAAGACUUGGGCAUUUGAAUGUCAAAAGCAUGAAGGGGCUUUAAUCCAAGGUAAGUGGCAUAGACCUUGGCCAUUCUACCAUUAAUCUUGCUUGUGAGGGAUGCAUUCAAGGCAAACAACAUAGGACACCAUUUCCUAGAAGAGUUGCAACAAGAGCAAACCAAUUGCUGGAGCUUGUGCAUUUGGAUGUUUGUGGAUCCAUGAGGACACCAUCUAUGAGUGGUAGUAAAAAGUGGGAGAUGUGUCCAAGUGGGAGUAGUGGUGUGUUUGUGGACACAUCUUCAAUUCCAUCAAACAAACAAGAAGAUGAAGAAGAGCAUUCUCCAAGUGAAGAAGGAGAAGAAGAUGCCAUGAUAGAAGAGCCCAAUACUAUGAAGACUUCAAUUCUAGCAAGAUACAACAAGGACAAUGAAGAGAAUGAAGAUGAAGAAUACCAACCAAUGAGUAAGAGAAAGAAUUCCAUAAGCCAUACAAGGCAGCAAGAGGUGCAUGAAGGCUCAUCCUCUUUGCAUGAAAGAAGAUAUCCAACACGUGAGAGAAGACCACAAGGUGAAUGGUGGAAGAACCACAUCUUUCCACAAGUAAGUGAAGACCAUGCCAAUGUUGCUCUUUUUGAUGAUCCAUUGACUUUGUGUAAUGCAAUGAGGUGUGGUGAUGCAAUGAAGUGGGAGAAUGCCAUGCAAGAAGAAUACAAAUCUCUUAUGGACAAUGAGACAUGAGAGUUGACUCCACUUCCACCAAAUUGUUCAGCAAUUGGAUGUAAGUGGGUGUUUAGAACCAAGAGAGAUGCAAAUGAUUGAAGGUCAAUAAUGGGCUAUGUAUUCUUUGUUGGAGUGGGAGCCAUAUCUUCGAAUUGCAAGUGACAACCAAACAUUGCAAGGUCCACAAUAGGGGCGAAGUACAUGGCAGCAAGUCAUGAAGCAAUGUAGGCAAUUUGGUUGAGGUUGUUAUUGGAAGAUAUUGGACUUGUGCAAUUGGAGGCCAUUCCAUUGAGGUGUGACAAUCAAGGAUGUCUUGCUUUUGCAAAGAAUCCAAAGGAUCAUGCAAGAACUAAGUACAUUGAUAUUCAGCAUCAUUUCAUAAGAGAGAAGAUAGAGAUGGAGGUUAUUGAUAUGAUGUAUUGUGAAACCAAAGACAUGUUGCCUGAUUUGUUGACAAAAGCCUUAGUUAGAGAAAGACACAACAAGUUGAGUAAGGCAUUAGGAUUGAUAGCUAAUUGACCAAUAGCAAAGUGGGAGUGUUGAGAAAAUAACUCUUUAAGUAGUUGCUAAUGGUCAAUAGAGUACAAGUGUUGUUAGGAAUAUUCCAUAAGGUUAGGUGCUGGUCUAUAGUACAUUAGAAUAGAAGGGGAGGGCUGGUCCUAGAAGAUAUCCCAUAUGGGUUGUAGCACUUGGUACCUUGGUACUAGUAUAUAAGGAAAGGGUUGGCAUGAAAAGAAUUAUCUCAUACCACACUCUAUUUGUUAUAGUGCAACCUUGCUGGUCCUAACUUACUUGUGUGGAGUAUGCUUUCUAUGUUUCAAUACAUAUAAAGUAAAAACAACAUCUAUAAAGCUUUUAGGAAACUUCUUUGGAAGACAUUAUAAAAUUAUUCUAUUUUAUCUACUUCUACUUAAUCAUAUAAAUAAUUAUUGGAGUAAAUAUGUAUGUUUGGAUAAUUUCAUUAAUUUUAGAAUUUGAAAGAUAAAUUACUUGAUAGUUUUUGUGUGAAGAGAGACUAAAACUUAAAAAAGUAACCAAUAAAUUUUAUCAAAAACUAUAAGAAGAUAGUGAGCUAGAAAGUGUAUGAUUCUUCAAAAGAAUAAUUGAGCCAUUUAAGAAUUCUACUAACACAUUGAUUAUAAUGAUUUGAAAAGUACAAAUAAAAAAACUUCAAAGAAUUAUACUACCAUUUUUUCCAAACUACUAUUACUAGUUUUGUUUAGAAUGCAUUAGAAGGUGUGUUCUUCUAUAUGUUGUUUAAUUUGAAAUUCAUUCUUCUAGCCCAUUAUCCUCCAAUUCUAUCGCUUGUUAUUGCAAAUCACAGUAUACAAUCCUAAACCGUAAAGAAUGGCAUGGGUUUCUACUAAUAAAUAAUCCAUGAACUAAACACCACAAUUAUCAUCCAUUUCGUCAUAUUCAUCCAUCCACCCCUCUAUCGUGCACUUUGACUUGGAAGCAGGAUGUGUUUUCAGAGGCAUUCCGUGGAGAAGAAGAUUGCGGAGCAGUUGAAGGGGUUUAGCCGUGGGACACGAGGGCACGAGGCCUACAUGCUUUUGCCGUGCCGGUGAAGCAACAGUGAGGGCGUCGCGGAGCAGGGGUGGAUCACAUCGCAGCUUGCGACGAUCGAAGCCGGAGGCGAUACUGUCCUGUGAUCGUCGUGCGCCUAUUUCUAUGCGUUGGAUUCGUUCUCGUCGUUGCUGCCAGCCAUAGGGGAGUUCUCGACCGUCGUUUGCACUCCUGUUCGGUUUCCCUGCAGUUAAUUUAGGGUGAGUGCGGCAGUUCUCGUGGCGAUUCAGGCCGAUCGAGGGAUUUCGUAGCCAUUGCUGUGAGAAAUGGCUACAGGUAGCCGGGCGAGAGGUGUGGCGACAUUAGGGUUUAGGGUGCUGGCCGUGUCUACUCGAUCUGUGAAUGGUAGAUUUUCUUCUGCGUCGGGUUCCCCGUCUUCGCGAUUGCUCUCGGGUUUUUCAGGUCAAGUGGAAGACAGUUUAGCGAUCAGAACCUUGGGAAAUUGGACACCAGUGCGGGGGUUUAAGAGUGGGAGAGAUGACCCUAGUUUUAGGUAUGAGAUGUCUCCGCCCACGAAUUGGGGCGUGCGAAUCGUUCCGGAGAAGAGCGCGUUCGUGAUCGAGCGGUUCGGGAAAUACUUAAAGACUUUAGGAUCAGGUUUGUUGUCAAUUGAUCAUGUUCUCAGCAUUUAUCAUUAUCAAUUUGGUCGGUGAUAGUUAGGGUCUACAGGUGCAGAGUUUCUGUCUGUUGAUACUUCGUGGGUUACACACUGAUGUAAAGAUAUAUCUCAUCAGUUUCUCGAAAAGCCUCACAUUCUGUGAACGAUACUCCCGUUUUUUGACAAUGCUUUAAGCUGACGAUUGAGCUUACAUUCAAUCGGUGAUAUGAAAUCAAGGUUCUGACCGAAGAAAUGUUGGGGCAGGUAUUCAUGUGAUGAUACCAUUGGUGGACAGGAUUGCUUAUGUGCAUUCCUUGAAAGAGGAAGCCAUUCCUAUUCCAAAUCAGAGUGCCAUCACGAAAGAUAAUGUGAGCAUUUCAAUUGACGGAGUUUUAUAUCUCAAGAUAGUUGAUCCUAUUCGGGCUUCGUAUGGAGUGGAAAAUCCAAUCUAUGCUAUCAUUCAGGUAUCAAACUGUGCAUCUUCUUUUUCUCCAUUUGCAUGCCAGCCUCUUAGUCAGCAGUAUUUAGGCUUCUUGUCCUAAGUUUUCCUAUUAGGAAACGUAUACGAAGAACUAUAAUUUUCACAGGGCUUGUGUCUAGUUAUGAACCAACGUGUGUGCACAAUUUCAUCUUCUGCUGUUUUUGAGUAGAAUAUGUAAUAUCUCUUAGAUGUCUGGAUGCGUUUUGGUGAAUAAUGUCCCUGCCAUAGGCCUCUUCGUUUCAAAAUGCAAUUGGGGGUCAUGAUUUAUUUAAUAACGGUGAUUUUUAUUGGAUCCAGCUCGCGCAAACAACUAUGCGAUCUGAGCUUGGGAAAAUUACUCUUGACAAAACGUUUGAGGAGAGAGAUACACUUAAUGAAAACAUCGUCAAGGCGAUUAACGAGGCUGCUUCAGACUGGGGCCUCCAGUGUUUGCGGUACGAGAUUCGAGACAUAUCUCCACCUCCGGGUGUGAGGGCAGCUAUGGAGAUGCAGGCUGAGGCAGAGCGACGAAAGAGAGCACAGGUUCUCGAGUCCGAAGGAGAGCGACAGUCUCACAUCAAUAUUGCCGAUGGAAAGAAAAAUUCAGUAAUUUUGGAAUCCGAGGCAGCAAUGAUGGAUCAGGUAGACGCGUAUUUUGGUUCCCUCACCCGACUCAAUUUUACUUCUUGAUCUGAAAUAAAUGAUAUAGCAAGAUUCAGAUGUUUGUUCCUUCUUUCUUUUAGUGUCUCGAUUUCUGGCUAAAGAGAUUGGUUAAAGUAGUGGCUGCACUACAAUGGGACGAAAUCUCAUGGCAAUUUAUGUUUUAAUUUAGCGAGUAAUAUAUUUUGCUAUCAGGUGAACCGAGCCAAAGGAGAGGCGGAUGCUAUACUAGCCCGCGCCGAAGCAACUUCGAAGGGUAUCCAGUUGCUGUCACAGGCUAUCCGUGCUGAAGGAGGAUCCGAGGCUGCAUCUCUUCGUGUGGCAGAACAGUACUUACAGGCCUUCAGUCAGCUUGCAAAAGAAAGUACAACAAUGCUUCUUCCCAGUAAUGCUUCUGAACCAGCUGCUAUGAUAGCUCAAGCGUUGUCAAUUUACAAAGGUAUUGUUGGAGUAGAUGGUGUCUCUACUCGGAUGUCGCCUGAUGGUGGGCCUAAACCGAAGGAUCAAUCUUCGGGCCCUUGGAAGCCCACCCCUUUAGAUUCUGAAAAGGAUAAGAUUGGUCAGGAUCCUACUCGAGGUGCAUCAGAUAUCAACCGAGAACCACCUGUUCCCCGGAACUUCAGCCUUCAGACUCCGGCUUAAAGUGUUAGUGCUGCGUCACACGAGAAAACAACAUAUGCUUAUCGAAUUUAACCAUGUGUUCAAUUUCAGUAGAUUCCGCAGUGAAAGGUCAACCGUCGAGAACACAAGGACCAGGUUUUGUGAGAAUGGAUUGGUGGCUAGGUUAGGUAUUCAAAGGAAUGAGUUGCUGGAGCUAUGUUGGAGAAGUGCCCAUCCACUUGAUUGGAGGGCAAAUUUUGAUAUGACAGAUAUCACAAGUUAGGAUUUACCCUCAUGAUCUGUACCUAGAAACAUAUGUUCGUCAGUACCUCAUAAGUGGACUGUUAAUUUCAACCUGUAUACAUGUUACCGCCUCAUUUGAUGAGCUUGGAUAUUGGCCAUACGUGGUUUUUGGAGGUAGUAUUUGGUUCCUUAUGCAAUUCUUGUGCUAUUAGCUUGUUCCAUUGAGGUGUAAGACAAGAAGGUUUUUCUAUGAGGUGUAGCAAUCACGUCUCGACGUAGAUUAAACCUAUUGCCCAGGAAUUACAGAAAUGGGAACUGCAGAUUGUGCCUCUGGCGCAGGCUGAGUUGAGAAAUGGAAAUUGCUGGAUGAGAGUGAGCUUUAUCAAGCUCAGCUUGUCUUAUGCCAGAUUCCCUAAGCUAAUUAGACCUAAAAUCGUAUGUGGAGCCUUUGUGGCACAAAAAUGGUGAGUCGAAAGGAAAUCCUAAAGCUCAAAAUAGCUUUAGGAUUUCUGAAAACUCUAAAGGUAUGCGAUGUAUUCACUGUUCUGUGUUGUGUGAUCUGCAUACACUGCUGGCAUCUACAUGUGGUGGUUGUUUGGGUUUAUAAUUUGUGUGUCUUGAGUUUUGUGUGUGUAUAUAUAUAUAUAUAGGGAGAGAGAGUGAGAAGUAUAAAAGUAUUAAUUACUUUACCACUUGUGAUUGGAAGAUAACCCAAAACAUCUCAAACGUCGAAUAAACCACAUACGAAAUAAGCCAGAUACUGAUGAGCACGGAUAAGAAAUGAUUCAAGUAAGAUGUCAUUCUAUUUUCAUUUUCGUUUUGUAUGCAUUGAAUAAAUCAUUGAAUGCCAUCUCAAAAACUUUCAUCACCGUUGUUCUCAUCACCAUGCAAACUACGGAAUACAUAAUCAUAAGCACUAAUUUAUAUACUAAAGAGUAAAUUGCACUUCGAUUCAGAAUCAACCACCACUUACGAGUAUUUUAUAGUUUUUCUAUGUUGUGUUGUUUUCUUAAUUUAUCACAUCAACUGUAAACUCAAAUCAAUGGAUUUCAAAGCAAUAUGAAAAACAAUCGAGAUCAAGGCAAGUGCAUGUGUACGUGCAUACAGAUAUAUAUAUAUAUAUAUAUUUUUUUUAUAUAUAUUUAUUUAUUUAUUUAUUUAAAUAUUCAUUUAACAACUUUUCAUGUUGCAACGUUGAAUGCAGUAGCGUGGUGAAUUUUUCAAAAUAUAAUCACCACAAUAGAAACUGCAUAAUAUUCUUGAAACAUGGUUACAACAAGUCUAGUUCUAAUGUGUUCAAUGUGUUCUAACAAAUCUAGGUAGAGUGGACUACUUUUUCUCAAGUUUGAAAAUGUUAUGAUUGUUUUACAUGUUCAAAAAAAUAUAAUAUAAGCCAAUAAAAAAAAAUAUCAUUUCUUCAUGCAAUAAUUGAAAGAAUUAGCCCCGCUUUAUAUUUUUGACUAAAAAAAUACAUACAGAUUUAUAAAUUUUAUGAAUCCAAAAGGAACAAAUUAAUACUAACAUGAAACACAUAAUCCUCCAUAUUUUAUGAUUGCAGUUCCAAAAAAGGCAGUAAAUAGCAAAAAACGAUUUUCAAAAGAGAUAUGAAAUUAUUGUUAUGGAUGAGUAAAUAAAUACAAAUAUAAAUAAUGUGUAAAGUAUCCGUUGUAUUUCAAUGCAAUGAUGACUCUAAUGCGUAAAAUAUGCAGAAUUCUCAAUCAUAUAUUUUAAUUACAUAUUGAGCACAUUAUUUUCUACAAUACACUUACAAGACACUUUUUAUUGUUGUGUUUAAGAAAAUAAGUAUAUAUCUAAUAUAUCCAACACAUUAUUUUCUAAAAUAUGAUUAUCUAAAAAACCAAAAUAGAAUAGUCUUAAUUCAUAUUUCAAGAGAAUUAAAACUCGCAAGGGUUAAAAUCAAUGAGUAACAAAGACUAAACCCUAAAUUUAGAACUGAAAGCUUCACCUUCCAGCAGAUGACACGCCAUGGAAAGGGCGCCAAACAUUGUUAAAAGCGAAGCCCGGGAAAAAAUGCAAUACCUCCCGCGCUAUGCACCAAUUUCGUGCAUAUGAAUGAAUGAAACUACGCUUAUGAAGAGUGUCAUUCAUACAUGACACCCUAAUGAAUAAAGAUGUAGAUAUGGAUGAAUGAAAUAAAUUCAUUUGUUGGUGAUGGACCAGACUAGAACUUUCAUCACCCCUGUUCCAUGAUUGGGACUGUGGAGGGAGACUCAAGCUCUCUCAUUCUCAUGCUGACGUCAGGGAAAUUAGUGUCAUCCAAUCAUUGAUCGUCGUUAAAUUUGACCUGGCCAAUCAGGCUUCUGACACGUGGAUAUGGAAAUUAAUAAAUUGAGAACAAAAAAUUAACGAGUUUUUAUUUUUUAUUUUUUCAAACUACAUCCACGGUGCUGGAUGUGACAGAAGCCGCCAAACAGAAGAAAUAAAAAGUAAAAUUAAAGUAAAUGAAAAAAGAAAUGCGAAGACUAAAGGUGAAAUGGGGAAAGGGGGAAAGAAAAGGCAGUUUGUUUGCAAAACAUACCCGCCCAGUGCUCCGCUUGAAACGUCGACUGACUGCAACUCUGACCGCAUUGCCUACCGCUGAAUAUCCACGACGCACGAACAAAACGAAAAAAAGAAAAAAAAUAAAAGAGGAAAAAUAGGAAAAGCAGAAAGGCGUGAUUCUGGCCAGAGCUCCAUCGCGGGUCGGUCUUCGCGUGUGUGUGUGUUGUGCGAGAAGGCGUCUCUCUUCCCCCGAACUACGAAACCAUACCUGCCAGAAUAGAUCGAUUAAUAGACUCGAUUGCCGAGUAAUCGUCGUUAAUCGCAGCCUCCUCGCACAUCUGUAUACCGCUCAAUUCUGGUGUCGCCGCUGCAGUCACGCUUUCUUUCGAUUCCCGUGCCUGUUCUUUACUCCUUGGCUGCUGCUCCUGCCAUUUGUGUUAUCUGAGAGGACUCGUUUUUUCCUGUGUUUUCGCUGCGUGUGCUUCGCACAACCGUUGUCGUGGUUAGAUCUGCGGUUAGUGUGUGUAGAGUUUGAUUGCCGAGCAGCAGCUGUGGGGUAUUUUGACUGCUAACGCCAAGGAUUAGCGCUCUGGCAAAUGUGGGGAGUGUGAGGGAUUUAGUGUGGAGAUAAUUUGCGGAGGUGUUGUUGAGCGCGGUUUAAAUUUUGGUGCGCGAGACGAGGGUGAUUGUGUGGGCAGUUGGUGAGGUGAGGCAGAAUGGGCAGCCCGGAGGCCACUUUAGCUGCGGUCGAGGCCGUGGGAACGCAGGAAGACGCCUUCGAGGAACUCACUGGGAACCUGCAAGGGUGGAAACGCAAGGUCCGUAGAGCUGCAAAAUCCCACGCCUUGAUUGAGAAAGUUCAGGAAUCUUGCUUGUGACAUAGGUUUCGGACGCUAAUUGGCUCCAGCAAUGUCGGCCGUUGGACCUGCACUUGUGGGAUGGUCAUGUGGUUUUGGCUAUCUUGGCUGAGGUGGAGAUUGCUUUAGAAGGCGCGCGGGUGGUGAUAUUGAAUGUGGUUGUUCAGGAUGUUGCGGGUUGCGCAUCUCAUAUGGUAGGGUAGGGUACGAAUUUGGCGAGGAGGGGUUGGGGCCAGCGUAUUCUGUCGUGUCGAGCGUGGCGGUAGAGAGCGCGAAGUUUCUGUUGAGUGUGGAAGUUGGUUUCAGGGGCAUGGGUGGUCGGUGUUGCGGUAGUUGGUAAAAAUCGAGGCGCGGGUGUAGGAAAGGUGCGUGGUAUGGUGCAGUGGGAGGCUGUAGUGCGGCGUGUAGCGGAGGAUGUGUGUUGGAAGAGGAGAGUCGUAGUUAUGUUUGGGUGGGAAUGGGUGAAGACUAGGAGGAGGGAACAUUGAGGGGGAGUAGCAGAUCGCAUCGGGAAAGGCAGAAUCCGGGUAGUUCUUGCAAUAGUUGGUGGUCAAAUUUGUAAGCUUGGUCGUUCGUGACGUGAGGUGUGCUGAUCACAUAGCGCUGUAGACCUUCCGAGUUUUUUGAGGUGCUCUCCAUUCGAGACGUGACAUCGUUGGUUACAACCCAUUUCACGAAAUUAGAGGAGCGCUUGUUGUUGCGCAAGGGAGGCGUCUUGUAUAGUUUUAUAUCUUUAUUUAUUUAUUUCACUGAUUGCAGCAAUGCAGUGAGGCGUCAUUGGGGUUUGAGAGUAUCUUUUCUGUACCCUGGGAUUGUGAUGUGGUUUGACCGUAUCUUUGCAAAAUGCAAGACUUCAUAUUCUUGCUUUCUAACUCCGGACGACGGUUGUGUAUCCUACUCAUCUUAGUUGACGAAUGUCUUCGACUCCCUCGGUCGUCGGUGAUGGUCGUAUGCCCUGCCUUGAUUGCUUGGCGGCGGUAUGCAAAAACUUUCGGUUUCCCGUGGAGGUGUCCUAGACGCAGCCUGUGCCACUUCUUAGACGCUUAUCGUCCAAGCGCAGGAUUUUUCGUUCUCUGAACACCUUCGCGCACCCGCUUAGUUCUACUGUAGGCGCACGCCACGACCACGGGAAGUUAAGCUCUAACUUCGCCUGUGGUGUUUUUCGGUCCCUGAACGCGACCCGAAUGGCGCGUGGUUGGGGUUUCGCCAACCAUCUGGUUUGGUGGACAUCCUGGGGGCUGGUCAUGCACUCCGUCGCUUCUUUUUGGAUGUCAGAAACCAAUCAUGGAGGGACUUGUUCGUUAACAGGUGUAAUAAGUGAGCAGCAUCAACGAAGCAUGACGUGAUCAUCAUGUUGCUGGGGGCUUUUCGUUUCCUGAAUAUUCUCCCAUCCUCUUUCAUCUCGUAGCUCGCGAAACUUGGGAUCCUGCGCAGACUUUGAAAUUACCUCGCUACGGGUACGAGUUUCGACGAGCUACAUUGCAAACGUUUUAGUUACUCCGCUGUUCGGACAAUUUGUAUCAGACGUCAUCCUGCGUUUAUUUUGUGUGAACCCUGCAAAGUGUUCGCCAGUGGGGGCUGGGUAUACCUUUUCACGGUUGUGGUGGCUUGAUGCCCGUUUGCGAAAUUGCGGGUAUCACAUACUGCCAUUAAUACUUAUUACCGUUACCUUGAAAAGUCGAACGUUUGAUUCAGAAAUAAACGGUUUCGCGCUCAUAUCCAAAACCUUAGAUGUAUUCUUGUUUGAGAUAUCUAUUUCCUGAUGAUACUGUUCCGAAUUGGAGCAAUCGUGCGGAUCGCGAUUAAUUCGGGACGACUUUGCGAAUGAGAAUGUAGCAUGUUAUAUAAUCUUUUUGUUGUGCUUUCUGUUGAUUAGGUCAUGAGUUGAAAUUGGUUAAGGUAAUACUGAAGCAUAGACAUAUUUUUGAUACGGUUGAACUAUCUCAUAGUGGUAUUGUCUUUUUGUGCCUACUUUAGAUGUUGAUUUCCUAUUGGUACACCUGUUAAUGCUUUGAAGGUGUCUGGGAAGAAAGGCGGCACC